Molecule: long non-coding RNA, 388 nt
Filed under: Malus domestica (apple)
Lineage: Eukaryota; Viridiplantae; Streptophyta; Magnoliopsida; Rosales; Rosaceae
Description: long non-coding RNA (MDOM_LNC017096)
Source: RNAcentral
AAAUAGCCCAAUAACAUUAAUAUGUCCGGCCAUUAGGGUGAAUGGGCAAGCUUUGAUUAAUUACAAGUUUGCCACUCACUUGAAAUGAAGUAUAAAAGGAACUUUAUAGCUUUAUUUCUCCUAAGGGUUUUUCUUGGUGAAAUGAGGUGAAACACUUUCUCUCAUUUUCUCUAAAGAGGCCGGCCACUUAAAGAGAUUAAUCUAGCAAUCUUUUCUUCUCUAAGUCAUCCAUUUCGUCUUCACACGUAACCCUUGGUGUGGAGACUUAGAUACACCAAAUCUUUGGUGUUUUUGGAGAUCCUUUCCUUACAUCCUCAAGGACCAAAGGAGCACAAAAGGAGAAGGAAAUCACAAGCAAUAUCCAAGGAGCUAGGAGGUGACUUGAAGG